UCGUGGCAGCCCAUCAAAACGCUACUGGAAAGACUGUGUGUUUUCUUUUUUAGCAGGCAACGAGCGGGAAGAAUAGUGAAUUACAAAGCCCUCGUCAAUGUGUUAGCAGAGAGACGAGGAGCCGUGUGCGAAGAAAAAGGAAGGGCUCGCAAAAAAAGAGGCACGGUGGCCGUGCAGCGUUUCUAUACCACUACACUUGUGCUGGAACCGGCAGAGUCCUGACGACUUUUCCCCUUUUAUAUUUUCGUGUUUUUCUUUCCUCCUCCAAACCCACGCGAUUCGUGUUCAAAUCUUGCGGAGCACACGGGGGACUGUGGUGAAGCCUAUAUUGGGAUGUAUGCUGGUAACACACUGACGUUUCAGCGUUGAACGGAGGACUACAGGCCACUGACGGCAGAGACGAGGUGGACCGCACAGCACAGGAGGCCUGGAGAAAUCAUCUACCACACACAAACACACAUGACGCUGGUUGCUAACUUUGGUAGGUUGCUUUCUGCCUCUUUCUCCCUGUGUGUAUCUUAUACGCAGACACCACAUUGCGGCCAGGGCCCAAACGCUGUUUGUAUGUAGAUGCAAACAAACUUGUUAGAUUCAUGCUUAUAAUCUCUACAAACUGAUAUAUU
This is a long non-coding RNA of Lampris incognitus (smalleye Pacific opah), 623 nucleotides long. RefSeq lists it as uncharacterized. The record is from RefSeq and is a predicted model, not a curated record. The transcript is spliced from 3 exons. Lineage: Eukaryota; Metazoa; Chordata; Actinopteri; Lampriformes; Lampridae.